ACAUCAUAUACACAUCAAAAAUGUUCACUCAGAAAUUGCUAGUAAAUUUCACAAAUAAUUAUGAAGAAAUUGAACCCAUUGAACUAAAUCUGACAUUGUAAAGUAGAAUAGUAUUUAUUGUAUUUUCUUUUUUGCUACAACUUUGAAAAAAUAUAACUACUUUCUUAUGAAGUGACAUGAUCAAGUUAUCAGUCAGUAUAGGGAAGCUGUGGUCCUUUUGAAAGCGGCACCGUGGCUUGGCUGACAUUUGACAAACCUGUGUGGAGUUGACAGCAUUGGUCUGUGGUCUACCUUAUUUGAAGCAAGGCUGCUUACAGCACAAAAAAAGACACCAACAAAAAUGGAAAACAGACAGCAAAUGGACCUUCCGACCCCCAUUCACACUGGAGCCAGUGAAGUGUGUCA
Cyprinus carpio carpio is the source of this 405-nucleotide long non-coding RNA. The record is from Ensembl. NCBI's taxonomy places the organism in Eukaryota, Metazoa, Chordata, Actinopteri, Cypriniformes, Cyprinidae.